CCUAAAUGUAGAGUGCAUUUUUAGAGAUAGAAAUUCCCUUCGGGUCUUUCUGCAAGGUGCUGCAUGGUUGUCGUCAGCUCGUGCCGUGAGGUGUCGGGUUAAGUCCCAUAACGAGCGCAACCCUUAUCGUUAGUUGCCAUCUGGUAAUGCAGGGGACUCUAGCGAAACUGCCACCGUAAGGUGAGAGGAAGGUGGGAUGACGUCAAAUCAGCACGGCCCUUAUGUCCAGGGCUACACACGUGUUACAAUGGUCGGUACAGAGGGCAGCUACCUGGUGACAGGAUGCUAAUCUCGAAAACCGGUCUCAGUUCGGAUCGAAGUCUGCAACUCGACUUCGUGAAGCUGAAUUCGCUAGUAAUCGCGCAUCAGCUAUGGCGCGGUGAAUACGUUCCCGGGCCUU
This 400-nucleotide ribosomal RNA is filed under the name uncultured Sphingobacteriales bacterium. RNAcentral describes it as "bacterial SSU rRNA". It matches the Rfam family "Bacterial small subunit ribosomal RNA", at positions 980 to 1382 of the family's 1533-position model. The record is from RNAcentral. Lineage: Bacteria; Pseudomonadati; Bacteroidota; Sphingobacteriia; Sphingobacteriales.